CCUACGGGGGGCAGCAGUUAGGAAUCUUGCGCAAUGGGCGAAAGCCUGACGCAGCGACGCCGCGUGCGGGAUGAAUGCCUUCGGGUUGUAAACCGCUUUCAGCAGGGACGCGGUACCUGCAGAAGAAGCCCCGGCCAACUACGUGCCAGCAGCCGCGGUAAUACGUAGGGGGCGAGCGUUGUCCGGAUUUAUUGGGCGUAAAGAGCUCGUAGGUGGUUUGGUAAGUCGGAUGUGAAAUCUCCAGGCUCAACCUGGAGGGGUCAUUCGAGACUGCCAGACUAGAGUUCGGUAGAGGAGUACGGAAUUCCUGGUGGAGCGGUGAAAUGCGCAGAUAUCAGGAGGAACACCCGUAGCGAAGGCGGUACUCUGGGCCGUCUGACACUGAGGAGCGAAAGCGUGGGGAGCGAACAGGAUUAGAUACCCUUGUAGUC
RNAcentral lists this ribosomal RNA (431 nucleotides) under uncultured bacterium. RNAcentral describes it as "partial 16S ribosomal RNA". It matches the Rfam family "Bacterial small subunit ribosomal RNA", at positions 338 to 795 of the family's 1533-position model. The record is from RNAcentral.